Molecule: ribosomal RNA, 670 nt
Filed under: bacterium 55-L049393-122-001-G07
Lineage: Bacteria
Description: bacterial SSU rRNA
Rfam family: Bacterial small subunit ribosomal RNA
Source: RNAcentral
GCAGUCGAACGAUGAAGCCUUUCGGGGUGGAUUAGUGGCGAACGGGUGAGUAACACGUGGGCAAUCUGCCCUUCACUCUGGGACAAGCCCUGGAAACGGGGUCUAAUACCGGAUACGACCUGCCUCCGCAUGGGGGUGGGUGGAAAGCUCCGGCGGUGAAGGAUGAGCCCGCGGCCUAUCAGCUUGUUGGUGGGGUAAUGGCCUACCAAGGCGACGACGGGUAGCCGGCCUGAGAGGGCGACCGGCCACACUGGGACUGAGACACGGCCCAGACUCCUACGGGAGGCAGCAGUGGGGAAUAUUGCACAAUGGGCGAAAGCCUGAUGCAGCGACGCCGCGUGAGGGAUGACGGCCUUCGGGUUGUAAACCUCUUUCAGCAGGGAAGAAGCGAGAGUGACGGUACCUGCAGAAGAAGCGCCGGCUAACUACGUGCCAGCAGCCGCGGUAAUACGUAGGGCGCAAGCGUUGUCCGGAAUUAUUGGGCGUAAAGAGCUCGUAGGCGGCUUGUUGCGUCGGAUGUGAAAGCCCGGGGCUUAACCCCGGGUCUGCAUUCGAUACGGGCAGGCUAGAGUGUGGUAGGGGAGAUCGGAAUUCCUGGUGUAGCGGUGAAAUGCGCAGAUAUCAGGAGGAACACCGGUGGCGAAGGCGGAUCUCUGGGGCAUUACUGACG